CAGUCGCGCGGUAAUACGAAGGGUGCAAGCGUUACUCGGAAUUACUGGGCGUAAAGCGUGCGUAGGUGGUGGUUUAAGUCCGUUGUGAAAGCCCUGGGCUCAACCUGGGAAUUGCAGUGGAUACUGGAUCACUAGAGUGUGGUAGAGGAUAGUGGAAUUUCCGGUGUAGCAGUGAAAUGCGUAGAGAUCGGAAGGAACAUCUGUGGCGAAGGCGACUAUCUGGGCCAACACUGACACUGAGGCACGAAAGCGUGGGGAGCAAACAGGAUUAGAUACCCCCGUAGUCCCUGUCUCUUAUACC
Molecule: ribosomal RNA, 301 nt
Filed under: uncultured bacterium
Lineage: Bacteria
Description: partial 16S ribosomal RNA
Rfam family: Bacterial small subunit ribosomal RNA
Source: RNAcentral